CCUACGGGGGGCAGCAGUGGGGAAUAUUGGACAAUGGGCGAAAGCCUGAUCCAGCCAUGCCGCGUGUGUGAAGAAGGCCUUCGGGUUGUAAAGCACUUUCAGUGGGGAAGAAAGCCUUGGGGCUAAUACCCUCGAGGAAGGACAUCACCCACAGAAGAAGCACCGGCUAACUCCGUGCCAGCAGCCGCGGUAAUACGGAGGGUGCGAGCGUUAAUCGGAAUUACUGGGCGUAAAGCGCGCGUAGGCGGUCUGAUAAGCCGGUUGUGAAAGCCCCGGGCUCAACCUGGGAACGGCAUCCGGAACUGUCAGGCUAGAGUGCAGGAGAGGAAGGUAGAAUUCCCGGUGUAGCGGUGAAAUGCGUAGAGAUCGGGAGGAAUACCAGUGGCGAAGGCGGCCUUCUGGACUGACACUGACGCUGAGGUGCGAAAGCGUGGGUAGCAAACAGGAUUAGUACCCGAGUAGUC
This 464-nucleotide ribosomal RNA is filed under the name Vreelandella stevensii. RNAcentral describes it as "partial 16S ribosomal RNA". It matches the Rfam family "Bacterial small subunit ribosomal RNA", at positions 338 to 795 of the family's 1533-position model. The record is from RNAcentral. Lineage: Bacteria; Pseudomonadati; Pseudomonadota; Gammaproteobacteria; Oceanospirillales; Halomonadaceae.